RNAcentral lists this small RNA (677 nucleotides) under Drosophila virilis. RNAcentral describes it as "GJ26285". The record is from RNAcentral. Lineage: Eukaryota; Metazoa; Arthropoda; Insecta; Diptera; Drosophilidae.
UAAAACUGUAAUCAAUCUAUGCUUUGAAUAUAAUUUAUAUAAAUACAUAUUUUUCUUUUCAGAUCCAUGCUGCUGCCAAUCUUCAACUGAAAAACUUGACAACGAAUAAACAAAUAAUCGCAGGACUUUGCCCAACCUCACACUCAGAAUGCAAAUGGAAGACUUUAUAAAGUCUGGCUUUUGUGCGAGCGAACGGACAUAAUCUUUUGCGAAAUUAUCACAGAAAUUGCACAAAGCAGAUACAACUGCAGACAGCAGCUUGUAAUUGUCAUCCUCAUGUCAGAUGCAUGUAACAAUUAUUUGAAUUGACCAAAGAAGGCAAUAUGCGAAGAGAGAUGGAACAGAAUAUAAAUGAAGACAAGGAGAGAGAAGGAACGCGGAGCGAGAGAGAGGGAAAGAGAGGGAAAGAGAGGGAGACACACUGUCCAAUUCAGUUCAUGGCAAAUUAUGCCAUUAGGUUGCCAUGUCCAAAUUUGCUCAAUGAACUGUGUUAAAUUUGUUGACUAAUUGCGUGUGUCCUGUGCGCUGCUCCUGACUGACCCAAACACUAGGAUGCUGCAAAAACUGACACGAGCCUGAUAUAAAAAUUAAUUGGAUUUAUAUAUUGUGGGUGCAGAGACAUCGAAAGGCUGAUUACGGGAGAGGGAUAGUGGCACAUAUACGGAAAUAUCUGUCUU